This 76-nucleotide transfer RNA is filed under the name Flavobacterium sp. S87F.05.LMB.W.Kidney.N. RNAcentral describes it as "tRNA-Arg". It matches the Rfam family "tRNA". From Rfam's summary of the family: Transfer RNA (tRNA) molecules are approximately 80 nucleotides in length. Their secondary structure includes four short double-helical elements and three loops (D, anti-codon, and T loops). Lineage: Bacteria; Pseudomonadati; Bacteroidota; Flavobacteriia; Flavobacteriales; Flavobacteriaceae. The record is from RNAcentral.
GAAUGCAUAGCUCAGCUGGUUAGAGUCUCCCAACUUCAGUCGGGAACGGUCGGGGGUUCGAAUCCUUCUGCGUUCG